GGACCCGCACAAGUAGUGGAGCAUGUGGUUUAAUUCGAAGAUACGCGCAGAACCUUACCAACACUUGACAUGUUCGUCGCGACUUUAAGAGAUUAAAGUUUUCGGUUCGGCCGGACGAAACACAGGUGCUGCAUGGCUGUCGUCAGCUCGUGUCGUGAGAUGUUGGUUAAGUCCCGCAACGAGCGCAACCCUCACUUUUAGUUGCCAUCAUUUAGUUGGGCACUCUGAAAGAACUGCCAGUGAUAAGCUGGAGGAAGGUGGGGAUGACGUCAAGUCCUCAUGGCCCUUACGUGUUGGGCUACACACGUGCUACAAUGGCAAGUACAGACGGCCGCUAACCCCGCGAGGGGGAGCU
Molecule: ribosomal RNA, 355 nt
Filed under: uncultured bacterium
Lineage: Bacteria
Description: bacterial SSU rRNA
Rfam family: Bacterial small subunit ribosomal RNA
Source: RNAcentral